Sander lucioperca (pikeperch) is the source of this 426-nucleotide long non-coding RNA. RefSeq lists it as uncharacterized. Lineage: Eukaryota; Metazoa; Chordata; Actinopteri; Perciformes; Percidae. The record is from RefSeq and is a predicted model, not a curated record. The transcript has 2 exons.
GUGUGUGUUAUUCAGCUGACAAAACAAUACGUCUUGCCGUCUGUGAUGGCAUGUUGUGAAUUGGCAAUUUUAAAAAAAACUUAGCAAUUCUGUCGAGACACAAAGGACAAUAUUGAUCAACACUUUUUGACUGGCAAGAUGGCGGAGAGCGUAAACAACAACUGCUAAAGCAUGAGCAUGUGCUGCAGCAUUCCCUCCUGCGUAAACGCAGGCACACGCAUGCACGCACGCAGAAGACAGCUGACUUCAGUUCAGUAGUGUGGAGUCAGUCACGGAGAACUGUAUAGCUGUGACGAGGUGGCUCCAAAAAUCAAUCCUGGCAACCGACAGACAAUCCCAGCGGGAACUCAGAUGAAGAAAAAAAAAAAAAAAAAAAGAGACUGAAGAGAGAAAAAAAAAAAAUAACGACUUAAAACCGAAAAGAAA